This 403-nucleotide ribosomal RNA is filed under the name uncultured bacterium. RNAcentral's name for it is "partial 16S ribosomal RNA". It matches the Rfam family "Bacterial small subunit ribosomal RNA", at positions 30 to 526 of the family's 1533-position model. The record is from RNAcentral.
AUUGAACGCUGGCGGCAGGCCUAACACAUGCAAGUCGAGCGCGAGGCGGACGGGUGCGUGAUGUAUGGGGACUGCCCGAUAGAGGGGGGUAACUACUCGAGACGGUGGCGAAUACCGCGUACUCUCUGAGAACCCACAUGGGAUUAGCUAGUGGGUAAGGUAAUGGCUUACCUAGGCGACGAUCCCUAGCUGGUCUGAGAGGAUGAUCAGCCACACUGGGACUGAGACACGGCCCAGACUCCUACGGAGGCAGCAGUGGGGAAUAUUGCACAAUGGGCACAAGCCUGAUGCAGCCAUGCCGCGUGUAUGAAGAAGGCCCUAGGGUUGUAAAGUACUUUCAGUCGGGAGGCGUUACCGACAGAAGAAGCACCGGCUAACUCCGUGCCAGCAGCCGCGGUAAUAC